CUACGGGAGGCAGCAGUCGGGAAUUUUCGGCAAUGGGCGCAAGCCUGACCGAGCAACGCCGCGUGGAGGAUGACGGCCUUCGGGUUGUAAACUCCUUUUCCAGGGGAUGAUGAUGACCGUACCCUGGGAAUCAGGCUCGGCUAACUCUGUGCCAGCAGCCGCGGUAAGACAGAGGAGCCAAGCGUUGUCCGGAUUGACUGGGCGUAAAGCGCACGCAGGCGGUGGGGCACGUGGGGUGUGAAAGCGGCCCGCUUAACGGGGCGAGGCCAUCCCAUACGGCCCGACUCGAGAGUGGCAGAGGUUCGUGGAAUUGCCGGUGUAGUGGUGAAAUGCGUAGAGAUCGGCAGGAACACCAAGGGGGAAACCAGCGAACUGGGCCAUAUCUGACGCUCAGGUGCGAAAGCGUGGGGAGCGAACCGGAUUAGAAACCCUGGUAGUCC
Molecule: ribosomal RNA, 440 nt
Filed under: uncultured bacterium
Lineage: Bacteria
Description: bacterial SSU rRNA
Rfam family: Bacterial small subunit ribosomal RNA
Source: RNAcentral